RNAcentral lists this ribosomal RNA (460 nucleotides) under uncultured bacterium. RNAcentral describes it as "partial 16S ribosomal RNA". It matches the Rfam family "Bacterial small subunit ribosomal RNA", at positions 338 to 795 of the family's 1533-position model. The record is from RNAcentral.
CCUACGGGAGGCAGCAGUGAGGAAUAUUGGUCAAUGGCCGGAAGGCUGAACCAGCCAAGCCGCGUGAAGGACGAAGGUGCCAAGCAUUGUAAACUUCUUUUGUCAGGGAGCAAUUGGCGCUACGUGUAGCGUUAUCGAGAGUACCUGAAGAAAAAGCAUCGGCUAACUCCGUGCCAGCAGCCGCGGUAAUACGGAGGAUGCGAGCGUUAUCCGGAUUUAUUGGGUUUAAAGGGUGCGUAGGCGGAAUGCCAAGUCAGCGGUAAAAUCGCGGGGCUCAACCUCGCUCCGCCGUUGAAACUGGCGUUCUUGAGUGGGCGAGAAGUAUGCGGAAUGCGUGGUGUAGCGGUGAAAUGCAUAGAUAUCACGCAGAACUCCGAUUGCGAAGGCAGCAUACCGGCGCCCAACUGACGCUGAAGCACGAAAGCGUGGGUAUCGAACAGGAUUAGAUACCCUUGUAGUC